AACGAACGUUGGCGGUAUGCUUAACACAUGCAAGUCGUACGUGAAAGCUUCCUUCGGGAAGCAAGUAAAGUGGCGCACGGGUGAGUAACACGUGGAUAAUCUGCCCAGUAAUCAGGGAUAACAUCUCGAAAGAGAUGCUAAUACCUGAUAAGCCCACGAUCUCUUCGGAGAACGAGGGAAAAGGUGGGGACCUUCGGGCCUGCCGUUACUGGAUGAGUCCGCGGCCCAUUAGCUAGUUGGUAGGGUAAUGGCCUACCAAGGCUACGAUGGGUAGCUGGUCUGAGAGGAUGAUCAGCCACACUGGAACUGAGACACGGUCCAG
RNAcentral lists this ribosomal RNA (322 nucleotides) under uncultured bacterium. RNAcentral describes it as "bacterial SSU rRNA". It matches the Rfam family "Bacterial small subunit ribosomal RNA", at positions 29 to 334 of the family's 1533-position model. The record is from RNAcentral.